UUAUUAAAAAAAAAAAAUUAAAAUAUAAAAAAGAAAAAAAGAAAAAAGAAAUUCUACUUCCAAUUCCUCCUCCUUCUCCUUCACAAGACAGCCCAGCGAGGAAAAUCUGACGUGCUAGGGUUUCUGAACCACUCCAAGCUCGUUCAGGGACGGAAUCCAUGCCCAGAAGCCACUCCGUACGACUCUCUUAGCCCUCUACCUUCCCAAAGGUUUGAUUCUGAACGGGCUUGGUUGAUAUUUUUGAGAAGCGCAUAUUUUUAUAGUUGAGUCUUUGAGUAAAAGAAAAUCAUGUCUGGAAGAAAUCGUGGACCACCUCAUGCUGGAUUGCCCCCUCCGGUUCAUGAAUCUCCAUAUGGAAGAGGACUUGGGCCGAUACCCCAUCCAGCAUUAGUCGAGGAAAUGCGAGAAUCUCAGCUUGGCAUGGGUCCCAGACAACGUCCUCCCCACCCUGCAAUAAUAGAGGAGCAUCUUGCGGCUCAACAUCAAGAUAUACAAGGACUUCUAGGUGAUAACCAAAGGCUGGCUGCAACCCAUGUCGCACUUAAGCAGGAAUUGGAGGCUGCCCAAUUUGAGUUGCAGCGAAUGGCUUACCAUGUUGAUUCACUGCGGGCAGACAAGGAUGUUCAAAUGAGAGAUUUGUAUGACAAGUCUGUUCGUUUGGAAGUGGACCUUCGUGGAGUUGAGGCCAUGCGGAAUGAACUUCUUCAGGUUCGUACUGAUAUCAAGGAGCUCACUGCUGCGAGGCAGGACCUCUCGGCUCAGGCACAAGCGAUGACACAAGAUUUGGCUAGAAUGACUGCUGAUUUGCAACAAGCACCAGCUUUGAGAGCAGAAAUUGAAGCAAUGAAACAGGAAUUGCAACGUGCUAGAGCUGCCAUUGAGUAUGAAAAGAAAGGAUAUGCAGAGAAUUAUGAGCAUGGUCAGAUCAUGGAGAAGAAUUUGACAUCGAUGGCUAGGGAGCUGGAGAAACUUCGUGCAGAAAUUGCUAAUACUGAGAAGAGAGCACGAGCUGCAGCUGCUGUUGGAAAUCCAGCUGUAGGUUAUAAUGCAAAUUAUGGCAAUCUUGAAGCAGGAUAUGCAGGAAAUCCCUAUCCUGCCAACUAUGGCAUGAAUCCUGUACAUAGUGGUGCUGAAAAUUUUCCUCAGUAUGCUCCUAUGCCCGGUUCGUCAGGUGCUUAUGACAUGCAGCGAGCUCAGGGACACAGAUAAGCUAGUUCAUCCAUGAUGCUGAGCCCCCAUUCUGACUGGUUCACAGCCUUUUGACCCUGCAAAUCUGCUGCCUUCCACGUAUGUCCAAUGUUCUCUCUAGUUCUGCUCACGAUUUCAAAUCUGCUCAUGAGGUGGUGAUUUCUGUAUUGCGGCACAAGCUAAAGGCAAGAAUGGUUUGGUUCCCUGUUAUCUUAAUGCAACGAACAAACAACCAGGUGGUUCGAUGUUAUGAUCGAAUGUUGGCCGACCAUAAAUGGUAUCCUCCUACGUACUACGUACUACUUUAAUCAGAAGCCACCAGGCAAGAUGUGAGAGUUGGCAUAAUUGGAAACAAAAAUGAUUUUUGCUCAACCGUUUGUAAGAUACUAAUGUUGUGUUUGGACGAGGGAUUGUAGUAGUACCAAGGGAUUUAGUAAGGACUGUAGAAGUGCACUGCAAAGCAUUUGAUUGAUGCAUUUGAAAUGACUGCUAACAAGGAGCCAUUUGAGGGUAGUCUUUCGGUCUCUAGGAUUGGAUUGGAAGGAUAACUUUAUAUUUUUCAGGGUAAAUUGAGGGUAGUCUUUUGCUGGGUAUUAUAAAUCUCCUGGGUUUGUUUUGAUAUAUUUACAAAGUUCCCUUUUCCCUGCA
This is an RNA transcript of Pyrus x bretschneideri (Chinese white pear), 1836 nucleotides long. It is a transcript of the gene named protein FLX-like 1, with no coding region annotated. The transcript is spliced from 7 exons. Lineage: Eukaryota; Viridiplantae; Streptophyta; Magnoliopsida; Rosales; Rosaceae. The record is from RefSeq and is a predicted model, not a curated record.